UGGGGAAUAUUGGACAAUGGGCGCAAGCCUGAUCCAGCCAUGCCGCGUGAGUGAUGAAGGCCCUAGGGUUGUAAAGCUCUUUCACCGGUGAAGAUAAUGACGGUAACCGGAGAAGAAGCCCCGGCUAACUUCGUGCCAGCAGCCGCGGUAAUACGAAGGGGGCUAGCGUUGUUCGGAUUUACUGGGCGUAAAGCGCACGUAGGCGGACUAUUAAGUCAGGGGUGAAAUCCCGGGGCUCAACCCCGGAACUGCCUUUGAUACUGGUAGUCUUGAGUUCGAGAGAGGUGAGUGGAAUUCCGAGUGUAGAGGUGAAAUUCGUAGAUAUUCGGAGGAACACCAGUGGCGAAGGCGGCUCACUGGCUCGAUACUGACGCUGAGGUGCGGAAGCGUGGGGAGCAAACAGG
RNAcentral lists this ribosomal RNA (404 nucleotides) under Actinomycetes bacterium. RNAcentral's name for it is "Actinobacteria bacterium partial 16S ribosomal RNA". It matches the Rfam family "Bacterial small subunit ribosomal RNA", at positions 355 to 776 of the family's 1533-position model. The record is from RNAcentral. Lineage: Bacteria; Bacillati; Actinomycetota; Actinomycetes.